Molecule: ribosomal RNA, 207 nt
Filed under: uncultured bacterium
Lineage: Bacteria
Description: partial 16S ribosomal RNA
Rfam family: Bacterial small subunit ribosomal RNA
Source: RNAcentral
CGUGUAGGCGGUUAUCCAAGUCGGGUGUGAAAGCCUUGAGCUUAACUCAAGAAAUGCAUUCGGUACUGGGUGACUAGAGGACCGGAGAGGAUAGUGGAAUUCCCAGUGUAGUGGUGAAAUACGUAGAGAUUGGGAAGAACACCAGUGGCGAAGGCGGCUAUCUGGACGGUUUCUGACGCUAAGACGCGAAAGCGUGGGGAGCAAACA